This is a non-coding RNA of Pelobates cultripes (western spadefoot toad), 242 nucleotides long. The record is from the annotation of a GenBank genome assembly. NCBI's taxonomy places the organism in Eukaryota, Metazoa, Chordata, Amphibia, Anura, Pelobatidae.
GGGAUGACUGGUGACAGAGGGAGGGGAUGACUGGUGACAGAGGGAGGGAGUGACUAUUGACAGAGGGAGGGAGUGACUAGUGACAGAGGGAGGGGGUGACUGUCACUAGUCACCCCAUCCCUCUCUCUGUCACUAGUUACUCCCUCCCUCACUCUGUCACUAGUCACCCGCUCACUCACUGUCACUAAUCACCCCCUCUGUCCCUAGUCACCUCAUCCCUCUCUCUGUCACUAGUCACUCCC